UACGUAGGUGGCAAGCGUUGUCCGGAAUUAUUGGGCGUAAAGCGCGCGCAGGCGGUCCUUUAAGUCUGAUGUGAAAGCCCACGGCUCAACCGUGGAGGGUCAUUGGAAACUGGGGGACUUGAGUACAGAAGAGAAGAGUGGAAUUCCACGUGUAGCGGUGAAAUGCGUAGAGAUGUGGAGGAACACCAGUGGCGAAGGCGACUCUUUGGUCUGUAACUGACGCUGAGGCGCGAAAGCGCGGGGAGCAAACAGG
Molecule: ribosomal RNA, 253 nt
Filed under: uncultured bacterium
Lineage: Bacteria
Description: partial 16S ribosomal RNA
Rfam family: Bacterial small subunit ribosomal RNA
Source: RNAcentral